RNAcentral lists this ribosomal RNA (374 nucleotides) under Megophthalmidia crassicornis. RNAcentral describes it as "partial 12S ribosomal RNA". The record is from RNAcentral. Lineage: Eukaryota; Metazoa; Arthropoda; Insecta; Diptera; Mycetophilidae.
UGUUAUUAAAAAAUUUAAAUUAAAAAAAAUAGAAUAUUAAAAGUUUAUAGUCUUUAAAAUUAAAAAAUUUGGCGGUAUUUUAAUUUAUUCAGAGGAACUUGUUUUUUAAUUGAUAAUCCUCAUUAAAUCUUACUUAAUUUUAUUUAAUUUGUAUAUCGUCGUCAUAAGAAUUUCUUAAAAAAAGAUAAAAAUUUUCUAAUUUAAAUUUUAUUAGUUAUGUCAGAUCAAGGUGCAGUUUAUAAUUAAGAUAAAAUGAGUUACAAUAAAUUUAUUUAUAUGAAUUUUAAAAUUAAAAAUUUUUAUGAAGGUGGAUUUGAAAGUAAAUUAAUUUAUUAAAUUUAAUUGAUUAUAAUUUUAAAAUAUGUACAAAUCGC